RNAcentral lists this non-coding RNA (148 nucleotides) under Homo sapiens (human). Lineage: Eukaryota; Metazoa; Chordata; Mammalia; Primates; Hominidae. The record is from Rfam by way of RNAcentral.
GCCGGGCAUGGUGGCAUAUGCCUGUAAUCCCAGCUACUGGGGAGGCUGAGGCAGGAGAAUUGCUUGAACCCAGGAGGCGGAGGUUGCAGUGAGCCUAGAUCAUGCCACUGCACUCCAGCCUGGGUGACAGAGUAAGACUCUGUCUCAA